GAUGAACGCUGGCGGCGUGCCUAAUACAUGCAAGUCGAGCGAACAGACGAGGAGCUUGCUCCUCUGACGUUAGCGGCGGACGGGUGAGUAACACGUGGAUAACCUACCUAUAAGACUGGGAUAACUUCGGGAAACCGGAGCUAAUACCGGAUAAUAUAUUGAACCGCAUGGUUCAAUAGUGAAAGACGGUUUUGCUGUCACUUAUAGAUGGAUCCGCGCCGCAUUAGCUAGUUGGUAAGGUAACGGCUUACCAAGGCGACGAUGCGUAGCCGACCUGAGAGGGUGAUCGGCCACACUGGAACUGAGAGACGGUCCAGACUCCUACGGGAGGCAGCAGUAGGGAAUCUUCCGCAAUGGGCGAAAGCUUGACGGAGCAACGCCGCGUGAGUGAUGAAGGUCUUCGGAUCGUAAAACUCUGUUAUUAGGGAAGAACAAAUGUGUAAGUAACUAUGCACGUCUUGACGGUACCUAAUCAGAAAGCCACGGCUAACUACGUG
This 497-nucleotide ribosomal RNA is filed under the name uncultured bacterium. RNAcentral's name for it is "partial 16S ribosomal RNA". It matches the Rfam family "Bacterial small subunit ribosomal RNA", at positions 28 to 507 of the family's 1533-position model. The record is from RNAcentral.